RNAcentral lists this ribosomal RNA (497 nucleotides) under uncultured bacterium. Its description in RNAcentral is "partial 16S ribosomal RNA". It matches the Rfam family "Bacterial small subunit ribosomal RNA", at positions 28 to 507 of the family's 1533-position model. The record is from RNAcentral.
GAUGAACGCUGGCGGCGUGCCUAAUACAUGCGAGUCGAGCGAACAGACGAGGAGCUUGCUCCUCUGACGUUAGCGGCGGACGGGUGAGUAACACGUGGAUAACCUACCUAUAAGACUGGGAUAACUUCGGGAAACCGGAGCUAAUACCGGAUAGUAUAUUGAACCGCAUGGUUCAAUAGUGAAAGACGGUUUUGCUGUCACUUAUAGAUGGAUCCGCGCCGCAUUAGCUAGUUGGUAAGGUAACGGCUUACCAAGGCAACGAUGCGCAGCCGACCUGAGAGGGUGAUCGGCCACACUGGAACUGAGACACGGUCCAGACUCCUACGGGAGGCAGCAGUAGGGAAUCUUCCGCAAUGGGCGAAAGCCUGACGGAGCAACGCCGCGUGAGUGAUGAAGGUCUUCGGAUCGUAAAACUCUGUUAUUAGGGAAGAACAAAUGUGUAAGUAACUAUGCACGUCCUGACGGUACCUAAUCAGAAAGCCACGGCUAACUACGUG